CAUGCAAGUCGAACGGUAACAGGAAGCAGCUUGCUGCUUYGCUGACGAGUGGCGGACGGGUGAGUAAUGUCUGGGAAACUGCCUGAUGGAGGGGGAUAACUACUGGAAACGGUGGCUAAUACCGCAUAACGUCGCAAGACCAAAGAGGGGGACCUUCGGGCCUCUUGCCAUCAGAUGUGCCCAGAUGGGAUUAGCUUGUUGGUGAGGUAACGGCUCACCAAGGCGACGAUCCCUAGCUGGUCUGAGAGGAUGACCAGCCACACUGGAACUGAGACACGGUCCAGACUCCUACGGGAGGCAGCAGUGGGGAAUAUUGCACAAUGGGCGCAAGCCUGAUGCAGCCAUGCCGCGUGUAUGAAGAAGGCCUUCGGGUUGUAAAGUACUUUCAGCGGGGAGGAAGGUGUUGUGGU
RNAcentral lists this ribosomal RNA (410 nucleotides) under Salmonella enterica subsp. enterica serovar Albany. RNAcentral describes it as "bacterial SSU rRNA". It matches the Rfam family "Bacterial small subunit ribosomal RNA", at positions 54 to 460 of the family's 1533-position model. The record is from RNAcentral. Lineage: Bacteria; Pseudomonadati; Pseudomonadota; Gammaproteobacteria; Enterobacterales; Enterobacteriaceae.